AGGGAUCAAACCCACAUGCUAAUGGAUGCUGGUCGGGUUCGUUAACCGCUGAGUCUUGAUGGGAACUCCACAAGAAAAAAUUAAAUAGCUUAAUGUGUACUAUAGAUUGAGGUUGGCAACUGCAUUUACCAUUUCAAGAUAAAUGAAUCCAGUAUAAGGAUCAUUGUAAAAAAAAAAAAAAAAAAGGAAGCUUUAGCUGGAGUUCUCAUCAUGGCACAGUGGAAAUGAAUCUGACUAGCAUUCCAUGAGGAGGCAGGUACGAUCCCUGGCUUUGCUCAGUGGGUUAAGGAUCUGGUGUUGCGGUGAGCUGUGAUAUAGGUUGCAGAUGAGGUUUGGAUCCUGUUUUGAUGUGGUGUAGGCCAGCAGCUAUAGCUCCGAUUUGAUACCUAGCCUGAAACCUCCAUAUGCUGCAUGGGUGCAGUCCUAAAAAAGACAAAAAAAAAAAAAAAAAAAGCUGUAGUUGGUGCAAAACCUUGCAUUUUUUGCAAAAUAUCUUUUUAUCUCAUUGAAAAUGUAGAUUUUAUAUGGGUACAGGAUUGCUUUAAGAAGGCAAAUCUGGAGUUCCCACUGUGGUGUAGUGGGUUAAGGAUUCGAUAUUGUCAUUGCAGUGCUCUGGUUGCUGCUUGGUUAUGUGUUUGAUUCCUGGCCUGAGAACUUCCACAUACUGUGGGGACGGCCAAAAAAGAGGCAUAUCUGUAGACUUAAAUAUGAUUUGAGAAAAAGUAAAGUCAUGUAACAACUUACAGCAAAAGGAAGAUUGAAGGAUCUAAAGCUGGAGACUUUAAUGCCAGCAAAGGAUGGUUUGAUAAUUUUAAAAAGUUUGGCUUUAAAAUGUUAACAAGAUAAGCAGCUUCUGCCCACCAAGAGACAGCAGACAAAUUCCCAGACACUGUUAAGAAAACUGUUGAGGAGAAAGGCUAUCUGUCUGAACAGAUUUUUUUUUUCCUUUUUAUGGCCACACCUGGUAAAAGUUCCCAGGCCAUGGGUUGAAUUGGAAAUGCACCUGAGGCCUGUGCCAUAGCAACACUGGAUUCAAGUGGUAUCUGUGACCUAUGCCACAGCUUGUGGCAAUGCCAGACCCUUAACCCACUGGGCAAGGCCAGGGAUCAAACCCACAUCCUCACAGAGGCAACACUGGGUCCUUAACCCACUAAGCCACAAUGGGAACUCCCUACCCGAACAGGUUUUUUUGUUUGUUUGUUUGUUUUUGUCUUUCGUCUUAUUAGGGCCGUACCUGAAGCAUGGAGGUUCCCAGGCUAGGGGUCUAAUCGAAGCUACAGCUGAUGGCCUAUGCCACAGCCACAGCAAUGCCAGAUCUGAGCCAUAUCUCCAAGCUACACCACAGCUCACAGCAAUGCUGGAUCCUUAAUCCACUGAGCGAGGCCAGGAAUCAAACCCACAACCUCAUGGUUCCCAGUUGGAUUCAUUUCCACUUCACCAUGAUGGGAACUCCUGAAUAGAUUUUUAAUGCAGAAAAAAGAGCCCUAUUCUGGGGGAAAAAAAAUGUCACGAAGGACAUUAGUGAGGAAGGGAAAGUGAGCUUCAGCAUUUAAGGCAGGAAGGGACUAGUUAACUCUAACUGCAAAUGCAGUUAGGUUAUGAUCAGGACUGCCUUUAUCUGUAAGCUGCCAACUCCAGAGCCCUGAAGGGAAAAGAUAAAUAUCAGUGCCAGACUUUUGGUUGUACAAGAAGGCCUGGAGAAUGGGAACCCUUUUUUUCUGGAUUGGUUCCAUCAAUACAUUGUCCCUGAAAUCAGGAAGUACCUUGACAGUAAGGAACUGCCUUUUAAAGCUCUUUUGGUGUGAGAAAAUAUUUUGUCCCAGCCUCCCUGAAAAAACUCCAUGAGUUUGACAUCAACGUCCAAUUGAUCCCUGGCACCCAAACACAGUGUCUCUGAUUCAGCCACUAGAUCCAGGGUGUCACAAGGGCCUUUAAAGCUCGUUACACAUGGUACUUUUUGAAAAGUAUGGUCAAUUCUGUGGAAGAGAACCCUGACAGAGAACAUCAUGAAAGUCUGGAAGAGUUACGCCAUUGAAGAUGCCAUCAUUGUCAUAGAAAAAGCUGUGAAAGCCAUCAGGGCUAAAACAGUAAAUUCUUGCUGGAGAAAACUAUGUCCAGAUGUGUGCAUGACCUCACAGGACUUAUGAUGGGCUAAUCAAGGAAAUCAUGAAAGAGAGCAAGGAUAUGGCAAAAAAAGAUGGGGGUGGGGGGUAAAGAGUUUUAAGAUAUGGAUCUUAGAGAAAUUCAAGAGCUAGUAGACACUACACCAGAGGGAUUAACAGAAGAUGACUGUGGAGAAGAGUGCUUCUGAGCCAGUGUCAGACGAUGAGGAAGAAGAUGUAGAAGAAGCAGUGCCAGAAAACAAACUGACAUUAGACAGUCUGGCAGAAGGGAUCCAGUUAUUCAAGACUGCUUUUGACUUCUUUUAUGACCUAGGCCCUUCUGUGUAAUGGGCACCGAAACUAACACAAAUGAUGAUUGGUACCAUAAAGAAACAGUUUUGGAGAAAGGAAAAAGCAAAAAAGUCAAACACAAAUUGCAGUCUAUUUCCUUAAAAUUACACUGUGUCUGCCUGCCUCUUCUGCCACCCUUCCAUCUCCUCCUCCCUGUCUUCCUCCUCCCCAGCCUAUUGAACAUGAAGUCAAGAUGAAGACCUUUAUGAUGAUUCACUUCCACUUAAUGAA
RNAcentral lists this long non-coding RNA (2684 nucleotides) under Sus scrofa (pig). Its description in RNAcentral is "lncRNA (ENSSSCG00035073342.1)". The record is from RNAcentral. Lineage: Eukaryota; Metazoa; Chordata; Mammalia; Artiodactyla; Suidae.